RNAcentral lists this ribosomal RNA (400 nucleotides) under uncultured bacterium. RNAcentral describes it as "bacterial SSU rRNA". It matches the Rfam family "Bacterial small subunit ribosomal RNA", at positions 355 to 772 of the family's 1533-position model. The record is from RNAcentral.
UGGGGAAUAUUGGACAAUGGGCGCAAGCCUGAUCCAGCAAUGCCGCGUGAGUGAUGAAGGCCUUCGGGUUGUAAAGCUCUUUCGCACGCGACGAUGAUGACGGUAGCGUGAGAAGAAGCCCCGGCUAACUACGUGCCAGCAGCCGCGGUAAUACGUAGGAGGCAAGCGUUAUCCGGAAUUACUGGGCGUAAAGGGCGUCUAGGUGGCAGCCCAAGCGGGGUGUGAAAGCUCCUGGCUUAACUGGGAGAGUGCGCUCCGAACUGGGCAGCUAGAGGGCAGGCGACGGAGGUGGAAUACCCGGUGGAGUGGUGAAAUGCGUAGAGAUCGGGUGGAACACCAGUGGCGAAGGCGGCCUUCGAGCCUGUACCUGACACUGAAGCGCGAGAGCGUGGGGAGCAAA